GAUGAAGAACGUAGCAAAAUGCGAUAAGUAAUGUGAAUUGCAGAAUUCAGUGAAUCAUCGAAUGUUUGAACGCACAUUGCGCCCGCCAGUAUUCUGGCGGGCAUGCCUGUUCGAGCGUCAUUUCAACCCUCAAGCUCAGCUUGGUGUUGGGACUCGCGGUAACCCGCGUUCCCCAAAUCGAUUGGCGGUCACGUCGAGCUUCCAUAGCGUAGUAAUCAUACACCUCGUUACUGGUAAUCGUCGCGGCCACGCCGUAAAACCCCAACUUCUGAAUGUUGACCUCGGAUCAGGUAGGAAUACCCGCUGAACUUAAGCAUAUCAAUAAGCGGAGGA
This 333-nucleotide unclassified non-coding RNA is filed under the name soil metagenome. RNAcentral's name for it is "partial contains 5.8S ribosomal RNA, internal transcribed spacer 2, and large subunit ribosomal RNA". The stretch from base 1 to 120 matches the Rfam family "5.8S ribosomal RNA", at positions 35 to 154 of the family's 154-position model. The record is from RNAcentral.